Molecule: ribosomal RNA, 253 nt
Filed under: uncultured bacterium
Lineage: Bacteria
Description: partial 16S ribosomal RNA
Rfam family: Bacterial small subunit ribosomal RNA
Source: RNAcentral
GACAGAGGGUGCGAACGUUGUUCGGAAUUACUGGGCGUAAAGCGCGUGUAGGCGGCAGCGUAAGUCGGGCGUGAAAUCCCACGGCUCAACCGUGGAAGUGCACUCGAAACUGCGCAGCUAGAGUCCUGGAGAGGAAGGUGGAAUGCUUGGUGUAGAGGUGAAAUUCGUAGAUAUCAAGCGGAACACCCGUGGCGAAGGCGGUUCUCUGGGACGGUACUGACGCUGAGACGCGAAAGCGUGGGGAGCGAACAGG